This 600-nucleotide ribosomal RNA is filed under the name uncultured Bacillus sp. RNAcentral's name for it is "bacterial SSU rRNA". It matches the Rfam family "Bacterial small subunit ribosomal RNA", at positions 924 to 1533 of the family's 1533-position model. The record is from RNAcentral. Lineage: Bacteria; Bacillati; Bacillota; Bacilli; Caryophanales; Bacillaceae.
CACAAGCGGUGGAGCAUGUGGUUUAAUUCGAUGCAACGCGAAGAACCUUACCUGGUCUUGACAUCCACGGAAGUUUUCAGAGAUGAGAAUGUGCCUUCGGGAACCGUGAGACAGGUGCUGCAUGGCUGUCGUCAGCUCGUGUUGUGAAAUGUUGGGUUAAGUCCCGCAACGAGCGCAACCCUUAUCCUUUGUUGCCAGCGGUCCGGCCGGGAACUCAAAGGAGACUGCCAGUGAUAAACUGGAGGAAGGUGGGGAUGACGUCAAGUCAUCAUGGCCCCUACGACCAGGGCUACACACGUGCUACAAUGGCGCAUACAAAGAGAAGCGACCUCGCGAGAGCAAGCGGACCUCAUAAAGUGCGUCGUAGUCCGGAUUGGAGUCUGCAACUCGACUCCAUGAAGUCGGAAUCGCUAGUAAUCGUGGAUCAGAAUGCCACGGUGAAUACGUUCCCGGGCCUUGUACACACCGCCCGUCACACCAUGGGAGUGGGUUGCAAAAGAAGUAGGUAGCUUAACCUUCGGGAGGGCGCUUACCACUUUGUGAUUCAUGACUGGGGUGAAGUCGUAACAAGGUAGCCGUAAAUCUCUGGAAGAUCCGCGC